Long non-coding RNA from Aphis gossypii (cotton aphid), 402 nucleotides. RefSeq lists it as uncharacterized. The transcript is spliced from 3 exons. The record is from RefSeq and is a predicted model, not a curated record. NCBI's taxonomy places the organism in Eukaryota, Metazoa, Arthropoda, Insecta, Hemiptera, Aphididae.
GUUUAGAGAAGGACAUUGUAAGUACAUGUAAGAAAAUUAUUUAAAAAAAAUAUGCUAAGUGUUAUUUUUAUAGGAAUUACUUAAACAAAAAUUGGUCACUGUUGAGGUGAAUGAUAAAACCGCAAUAGAUAUUGAAAAGAAAUUGGAGCAACAAAUUUUACAUAAUUCCCCCUCAUCUAGUAUGAGUAAUUAUGUAAAAUUAGAUGAUUUACAGCCACUUGAAUCCAAGAUUUCAUUUAUUGAAAAACUUGUCUGUUCAAAAAUGAAAAAAUUAAGUGUACAAGAUGAGCCAAGCAGUAUAAGCUCAGACGCAUUGAAAAUAAAUGAUAAUUGUACUGAAUGGUGGUGUCCCAAACAUAGUAAAUUUUUGGACAUUUUAAAUGGCAUCAAGAUUGGAGAGCA